UCAGGACGAACGCUGGCGGCGUGCCUAAUACAUGCAAGUCGAACGGUCUUUCUAUGGAAGCUUGCUUCCACUGAGAAGAUAGUGGCGAACGGGUGAGUAACACGUGGGUAACCUGCCCAUAAGAGGGGGGAUAACAUCCGGAAACGGGUGCUAAUACCGCAUAGUUUUCUUGAUCGCAUGAUCGGGAAAGGAAAGACGGCCUUUGUGCUGUCGCUUAUGGAUGGACCCGCGGCGUAUUAGUUAGUUGGUGAGGUAACGGCUCACCAAGACGAUGAUACGUAGCCGACCUGAGAGGGUGAUCGGCCACAUUGGGACUGAGACACGGCCCAAACUCCUACGGGAGGCAGCAGUAGGGAAUCUUCCGCAAUGGACGAAAGUCUGACGGAGCAACGCCGCGUGAGUGAAGAAAGGUUUUCGGAUCGUAAAACUCUGUUGUCAGAGAAGAACAAGUUGGAGAGUAACUGCUCCAGCCUUGACGGUAUCUGACCAGAAAGCCACGGCUAACUACGUGCCAGCCGCAGC
RNAcentral lists this ribosomal RNA (522 nucleotides) under uncultured bacterium. RNAcentral describes it as "bacterial SSU rRNA". It matches the Rfam family "Bacterial small subunit ribosomal RNA", at positions 24 to 518 of the family's 1533-position model. The record is from RNAcentral.